GCCUACGGGGCGCAGCAGUGGGGAAUAUUGCACAAUGGGGGAAACCCUGAUGCAGCGACGCCGCGUGAGCGAAGAAGUAUUUCGGUAUGUAAACCUCUUUUGUCAGGGAGCAACGCCGGCUACGUGUAGCCGGACUGAGAGUACCUGAAGAAAAAGCAUCGGCUAACUCCGUGCCAGCAGCCGCGGUAAUACGGAGGAUGCGAGCGUUAUCCGGAUUUAUUGGGUUUAAAGGGUGCGUAGGCGGAAUGCCAAGUCAGCGGUAAAAUCGCGGGGCUCAACCUCGCUCCGCCGUUGAAACUGGCGUU
Molecule: ribosomal RNA, 305 nt
Filed under: uncultured bacterium
Lineage: Bacteria
Description: bacterial SSU rRNA
Rfam family: Bacterial small subunit ribosomal RNA
Source: RNAcentral